This is a long non-coding RNA of Solanum lycopersicum (tomato), 2164 nucleotides long. RefSeq lists it as uncharacterized. NCBI's taxonomy places the organism in Eukaryota, Viridiplantae, Streptophyta, Magnoliopsida, Solanales, Solanaceae. The record is from RefSeq and is a predicted model, not a curated record.
UAUCAAAGUAGUUGGUCCACUUCAAAUGGGCCAUUUAGCCCAUUCUUUGAUAUACACAACCAAAGAAAGAAUCCAAUUUGAUGUUCAAAGGAAAAAACCAAGAGCAAGAGAAACCGGUGACUUAGGGGUGAAAGGUCUCCUUUUUUUUAUGGGAAUAUGCUGAAACUAGUUUCUGAAAUGUUGUGCGCUAGAGGAGGUCAGAAGUUGAGGCCUUAUCUAUGUGUGUGCAUACAUAACUUUGGCAGGAGUGACUGAAUGUUCUAGAUUCUGCCUUGUCGACUUGAAUGGUUCUCCAAUAGGACAUGGCUAGUUAUAUCUAAGCUCCACUUGUUAAUUCUGAGGUUUCUUGUUUGUUUUAUCCAGUAGUGUGUUUGUAUAUCUUUCAAACAAAGACUCUCUUUACGUAAAAUAAAUGCAGAAGAGUGCUUAUUAACUUUCAUACAAAUGACUCUAGGGUAACAUGACUGAUGAAUGUCUCAAAUUACUGGGGAUCAGUAUGUCUUCUUGUUUCCAUACAAAGAUUGUUGGAAUGAACUCUAUUGUUUCAGAACGUCAAUUUCAUAUUGAGAUAAAGGCUCAAGUGAGUCAAGAGUUAAUUUUUCUCUAGAGAGUCUAGACUCCUAACAAAUCUACAUUCACGGACAUCCAAGUUUGAUUGUCAGCCUCAUAUAACUAGAGCCUUAAUAAUUGGAAUAGUUUUAGAGUUUUAAUAGUGGACUUAUGUAGAAACAUGUUUAAGAAAUUGUUGGACCAUGUAAAUGAGGAGUAAUUGUUGUGCAGAUCUCACAUCAAGGCAAAAGCAGUAUGACUGAGCAAUAUUUAUAUCUUUCAUUAAGACAUGUUUAAAUGAAAAACGGUUCUAAAUAGUGUCAAGUAACUGGUAAGGUACUCUCUGAUGAUAGAACCAUGUAACUAUGAAAGGGUAAAGUUGCAAAUGGUAGAUUCCGAAGAAUGUAGGUCGUUUCCAAAUUGUAAAAAAUAUUUUGUUAUUCUUAGUUGCAAUGCAUUUUAUAAUCCGGUGGAAUAAUCGUACCUUGGACAUAAAGCAUUUUGAAGCAACCAUCAUUUUGUUGAAAUCAACUCUUUAUUGUUGGUUACACUUAAUUGAGCAAUCAGUUGGUUCUCCUUUGUUCUGAGAAUGCUUAUACAUAAAAAUGCUUGUAUUAUUUAUAUAUGUGAUUGCUUAAUUGUAUAUUAUGUAUAUGUGCAUUUUUUAUGUUAACUGUAUGUGAUAUUGUACAAGGUUGCAGUGAAUUGAUGUAAAGGCAUGAUGAAUGUAUGGAUUUGGGCUUUAUAGAAAUUGGCUUUAAUAAGAAGUGCUGACCUUAUGUCUCUUUAGUUUCCUGCUGUAAUCUUUUAACCUUUGCUUCUGUAUAAUUAAUGAAGCAGAAAUGCUCUGCAGCUUCAAGAAAAAGAUAGGUUCAGACUGUGUUGAGGGAAGAGAUUGUAGAAUCGGAGUACAAAUCCUUUUUAAGCUUUUAAAUUGGAUAUUUCACAAAACUUAAAACAAAACAAGUUCAUUAAAGUUCUGAAUCCCUUGUUUAUUUUUGGCUCAGUAUGAGCUCCGAGCUCGAAGUGAUUUUUGUCCUUCAAUUAAAAUAAGGAACGAGUCUUUUGUCCGGGAAAAGAAUGAUAAAGAAUGACUUGUGAGAAAGAGAGAGAAGUGAAACACUGUUGACUCCAUAUAGCACUUGAUGUCAGCCCUGCUUACAGGCUUUUAUACUCGUGGUUUCAUUGCCACUGUUGUGCGUUUGUGCUUAUAUUUAAAAUGUGGUCUUCCUCCUCCUUUGUUUGAAUGUAUGGGCUUAUUGUUAUACCAAACAUUGUUCCCCUUUGUUUCGUGUAUUCUUGAGAAAUAUGAGGGAUGGAAAAGGGAGAAAAGAUUAGCACUCAAGUAUCACAGUGUGGUGCUUCUGUGUGUUAGCCUUGUUGAAGAAUAGGAGUUUGAAUCUUUGUGAUUUAAUUAUGUUUUUAAUUUUUUGCUUUAUAUGUUAUGACUUAUGAGUAUUUUGGCCUAUGUAAUUUCUUUCAAUCUAAGACUAUUACAUCUAUUUAGUUAAUUUAAUAUUUUUUAUUUUUAUACUUAAUGUCGCUUUUUUUACAAAAAGCGCGCGCUUCGCUUCACGCUUCUCGCUUCUGUGAAGCAAGCCCUCGUCGCUUUUUU